This 274-nucleotide ribosomal RNA is filed under the name uncultured bacterium. RNAcentral describes it as "partial 16S ribosomal RNA". It matches the Rfam family "Bacterial small subunit ribosomal RNA", at positions 523 to 796 of the family's 1533-position model. The record is from RNAcentral.
AUACGGAGGGUGCAAGCGUUAAUCGGAAUUACUGGGCGUAAAGGGCGCGUAGGCGGUCUAUCAAGUCAGUUGUGAAAUCCCACGGCUCAACCGUGGAGGUGCAUCUGAAACUGAUAGACUUGAGUAUGGGAGAGGAAAGUGGAAUUCCCGGUGUAGAGGUGAAAUUCGUAGAUAUCGGGAGGAACACCAGUGGCGAAGGCGACUUUCUGGACCAAUACUGACGCUGAGGCGCGAAAGCGUGGGGAGCAAACAGGAUUAGAUACCCUAGUAGUCC